GGGAGGCAGCAGUGGGGAAUUUUGCACAAUGGGGGAAACCCUGAUGCAGCGACGCCGCGUGGAGGAUGAAGGCCUUCGGGUUGUAAACUCCUUUUGUAGGGGACAAUGAUGAUGGUACCCUACGAAUAAGUCACGGCUAACUCUGUGCCAGCAGCCGCGGUAAGACAGAGGUGGCAAGCGUUGUUCGGAAUUACUGGGCUUAAAGGGCGCGUAGGCGGUGAGAUAAGUCUGAGGUGAAAUCCUAUGGCUUAACCAUAGAACUGCCUUGGAAACUGUUUUACUUGAGUCAGCGAGGGGAUGGCGGAAUUCCUGGUGUAGCGGUGAAAUGCGUAGAUAUCAGGAGGAAGGCCGGUGGCGAAGGCGGCCAUCUGGCGCUGAACUGACGCUGAGGCGCGAAAGCGUGGGGAGCAAACAGGAUUAGAUACCCUGGUAGUCCACGCCCUAAACGGUGGGUAUUAGGUGUAAGGCUCGUAAGGGUUCUGUGCCGUAGGGAAACCAUUAAAUACCCCGCCUGGGGAGUACGGCCGCAAGGUUGAAACUCAAAUGAAUUGACGG
This 555-nucleotide ribosomal RNA is filed under the name uncultured bacterium. RNAcentral's name for it is "bacterial SSU rRNA". It matches the Rfam family "Bacterial small subunit ribosomal RNA", at positions 343 to 916 of the family's 1533-position model. The record is from RNAcentral.